AACUUGAGAGGGAGAAUUCAGGGCCUUGAAUGAGUAGACAAUCUGAUUUUCCAAUUUUCCGAAGCGCAUUUUCUGAGAUGGUUGUGCAUGCUGUAUUAUUGUUGAAACACAGUUACUCUUCGCCUUUAGACGUUGGAAUGUAUAAGUAGUCAAUGAACGGGGAGAACUGGGCUAUUAAUGUGAAAUCAGCCAAGCUUAAUGCUAAUUUUCACAUAGAGUUUUCAGAAUUUCUGUAUGCGAAAAAAUGUGAUUUAGUAAAAGCAUGUCGAUUGUGGAAAGCACUUGUUGGCGAGAGACCUGUCGAGACAUAUAUAUUUGUCAUUUCUGAUACCUAUUCGACGGAGUGAAGUGGUAGAGAGAACUCACGGUGAUAAUUGAUAUGUUUGUUCUGUGCGGCACAACACAUUUUGUCAUUAUAUAUAUAUAUAUAUAUAAACAAAUAUCAUGACAAAAUACGUAUUUUCUUGGUAAGGUUGUGGUUGCUCACUCAUCCGACCAAUUUCGUGACUUCUAGAGUUUCAUUAGAAAGAAGCCUGGCGAAGAAACCAAGCAUGACAGAAGACUUAUUUACAGUUCGAUACUCACACUAAGUAAUAUACUUUUCUGUACAACAUCCCAGCAAUAUUUACUUCCUUCCUUCGAUGUGGUAUCUACGUCGAUCAAUGCAAGCGUCACGCACACCGUAUUCAAGAGCGCAAAACCUGGCUCAUGAGCUGACAAGUCCUGUGAAGGUAUUCGAGACAAGUAGAGAAUUCAUAAAAGAUACUGAGGCAGACCUCUUAUAAGGUUUAAAUACUCUUUGUACACUACAGUACCCUAUGUAUGUGCUACUUAUAUAUGUAUAUAUAUAUACAUAGUACUGUAUACGAAAUGGAUACCUAGUGACCUAAAUACAAGGAGCAAUGAGUAUACAUUUUGUCCAGAGAUCUAAACAUCAAUUAUAGUAGAUGCUGUUAUUUAUUAGAGUGGAAGGAAUGAUAUUGAUGUAGAAUAGACAUCAAGUAAGAAGUAUUCUAGGUCCAAGUUAUUUGUCAUUUUAUUCCAAGUCUAAUAAUGAGACUAUGUUGAGUUGUUUUAGAAAAUUAAUAAACAUUUUCAUUUCUAAAGGUUUAGUAAAGAUAGCUGCUAGUUUUCUAUUAUAGGAACAUAUUUAAGGUUGGUAUUGCCUUCUUCAAUCUAUUCUUCUAUUUAGUAAAAGUGAGUAUGAAUAUGUAUUGUUUAUAAGUGAAAUGCAUCAUUAUUGAUCAUC
This 1249-nucleotide long non-coding RNA is filed under the name Physcomitrium patens. RNAcentral describes it as "long non-coding RNA (PPAT_LNC012820)". Lineage: Eukaryota; Viridiplantae; Streptophyta; Bryopsida; Funariales; Funariaceae. The record is from RNAcentral.